RNAcentral lists this small nuclear RNA (58 nucleotides) under Vicugna pacos (alpaca). The record is from RNAcentral. Lineage: Eukaryota; Metazoa; Chordata; Mammalia; Artiodactyla; Camelidae.
UUUAGCAUGGUCCCUUCACAAGGAUGACACACAAAUUUGUGAAGCGUUCCAUAUUUUU